Molecule: ribosomal RNA, 468 nt
Filed under: uncultured bacterium
Lineage: Bacteria
Description: partial 16S ribosomal RNA
Rfam family: Bacterial small subunit ribosomal RNA
Source: RNAcentral
GACGAACGCUGGCGGCGUGCUUAACACAUGCAAGUCGAACGGAAAGGCCCUGCUUUUGUGGUGUGCUCGAGUGGCGAACGGGUGAGUAACACGUGAGUAACCUGCCCUUGACUUUGGGAUAACUUCCGGAAACUGGGGCUAAUACCGGAUAGGAGCUCCUGCUGCAUGGUGGGGGUUGGAAAGUUUCGGCGGUUGGGGAUGGACUCGCGGCUUAUCAGCUUGUUGGUGGGGUAGUGGCUUACCAAGGCUUUGACGGGUAGCCGGCCUGAGAGGGUGACCGGCCACAUUGGGACUGAGAUACGGCCCAGACUCCUACGGGAGGCAGCAGUGGGGAAUAUUGCACAAUGGGCGGAAGCCUGAUGCAGCAACGCCGCGUGCGGGAUGACGGCCUUCGGGUUGUAAACCGCUUUCGCCUGUGACGAAGCGUGAGUGACGGUAAUGGGUAAAGAAGCACCGGCUAACUACGUG